UGUGCCGAUAACAACGGAGGAUGCAGUCACAGCUGUGUGAACACUGGUGGGAGCUACCACUGCACCUGCCCUGAUGGGUACCGGCUGGCGGGGGCAACAAACUGCGUGGAAGUCAACGAGUGUGACAGCAAUCCAUGCUGCAACGGCGGGACCUGUCAGGACCUGAUAGACCGGUACAGGUGUGUCUGUCAACCAGGAUGGACAGGAGUCAACUGUGAAUCAGACAUAAAUGAAUGCGAUGCCAAUGCUGGGCAGGGACCUUGUGAUGCUACAAAUGGUAUCUAUUAGAAUUCUCCUGGAAGUUACCGCUGCUGGUGUAAACCUGGGUUGGAACUCCAAGUUGACCUUCACAGUUGCAGAGACAUAAAUGAGUGUGACGAGGCCCAACACGACUGUGAGCAGACGUGCCUCAACAUCAACGGCGGAUUUUCAUGCGGAUGUGACGGCGGUUUUCUCCUCAAUGCCGAUGGGAAGACUU
Branchiostoma floridae (Florida lancelet) is the source of this 478-nucleotide long non-coding RNA. RefSeq lists it as uncharacterized. The transcript is spliced from 4 exons. Lineage: Eukaryota; Metazoa; Chordata; Leptocardii; Amphioxiformes; Branchiostomatidae. The record is from RefSeq and is a predicted model, not a curated record.